CCUACGGGGCGCAGCAGUGGGGAAUAUUGCGCAAUGGGGGAAACCCUGACGCAGCAACGCCGCGUGCAGGAAGAAGGUCUUCGGAUUGUAAACUGUUGUCGCAGGGGAAGAAGACAGUGACGGUACCCUGUGAGAAAGUCACGGCUAACUACGUGCCGGCAGCCGCGGUAAUACGUAGGUGACAAGCGUUGUCCGGAUUUACUGGGUGUAAAGGGAGCGUAGGCGGCGAUGCAAGUCAGAAGUGAAAGCCCGGGGCUCAACUCCGGGACUGCUUUUGAAACUGUAUGGCUAGAUUGCAGGAGAGG
RNAcentral lists this ribosomal RNA (305 nucleotides) under uncultured bacterium. RNAcentral describes it as "bacterial SSU rRNA". It matches the Rfam family "Bacterial small subunit ribosomal RNA", at positions 338 to 657 of the family's 1533-position model. The record is from RNAcentral.